This 253-nucleotide ribosomal RNA is filed under the name uncultured bacterium. Its description in RNAcentral is "partial 16S ribosomal RNA". It matches the Rfam family "Bacterial small subunit ribosomal RNA", at positions 524 to 776 of the family's 1533-position model. The record is from RNAcentral.
UACGAAGGGGGCAAGCGUUAUUCGGAAUUACUGGGCGUAAAGCGCGCGUAGGCGGCUUUGUAAGUCAGGGGUGAAAGCCCGGGGCUCAACCUGGGAACUGCAUUUGAUACUGCUAGGCUAGAGUCUGGGAGAGGAUGGCGGAAUUUCCUGUGUAGCGGUGAAAUGCGUAGAUAUAGGAAAGAACAUCAGUGGCGAAGGCGGCCCUCUGGACCGGUACUGACGCUGAGGUGCGAAAGCGUGGGGAGCAAACAGG